RNAcentral lists this ribosomal RNA (503 nucleotides) under uncultured bacterium. RNAcentral's name for it is "partial 16S ribosomal RNA". It matches the Rfam family "Bacterial small subunit ribosomal RNA", at positions 30 to 523 of the family's 1533-position model. The record is from RNAcentral.
AUUGAACGCUGGCGGCAGGCUUAACACAUGCAAGUCGAGCGGGGUGAUGGUGCUUGCACUAUCACUUAGCGGCGGACGGGUGAGUAAUGCUUAGGAAUCUGCCUAUUAGUGGGGGACAACAUCUCGAAAGGGAUGCUAAUACCGCAUACGUCCUACGGGAGAAAGCAGGGGAUCACUUGUGACCUUGCGCUAAUAGAUGAGCCUAAGUCGGAUUAGCUAGUUGGUGGGGUAAAGGCCUACCAAGGCGACGAUCUGUAGCGGGUCUGAGAGGAUGAUCCGCCACACUGGGACGGAACCACGGCCCAGACUCCUACGGGAGGCAGCGGUGGGGAAUAUUGGACAAUGGGGGGAACCCUGAUCCAGCCAUGCCGCGUGUGUGAAGAAGGCCUUAUGGUUGUAAAGCACUUUAAGCGAGGAGGAGGCUCUUUUGGUUAAUACCCAAGAUGAGUGGACGUUACUCGCAGAAUAAGCACCGGCUAACUCUGUGCCAGCAGCCGCCGUAA